AGCGAACGCUGGCGGCGUGCCUAACACAUGCAAGUCGAACGUGAAAAGGGAAACCUGAGUCCAGUGGCGUACGGGUGAGUAACGCGUAGGUAAUCUACCCCAGAAUCUGGAAUAACCUGCCGAAAGGCGGGCUAAUACUGGAUAGAGCGAGGGAACUCGUAAGAGAGUUUUUCGGGAAAGGGAGCCCGCAAGGGCCUUCGUUCUGGGAUGAGCCUGCGUCUCAUUAGCUAGUUGGUAAGGUAACGGCUUACCAAGGCGAUGAUGAGUAGCUGGUCUGAGAGGAUGAUCAGCCUCACUGGAACUGAAACACGGUCCAGACUCCUACGGGAGGCAGCAGUGGGGAAUCUUGCGCAAUGGACGAAAGUCUGACGCAGCCACGCCGCGUGAGUGAAGAAGGCCUUCGGGUUGUAAAGCUCUGUCGGAUGGGACGAACAUCUUCAUAGUGAAUAGCUAUGAGGACUGACGGUACCAUCAAAGGAAGCACCGGCUAACUCCGUG
This 498-nucleotide ribosomal RNA is filed under the name uncultured bacterium. Its description in RNAcentral is "partial 16S ribosomal RNA". It matches the Rfam family "Bacterial small subunit ribosomal RNA", at positions 29 to 507 of the family's 1533-position model. The record is from RNAcentral.